AAUAUUGAUGAAUGGACGUCUAGA
Molecule: non-coding RNA, 24 nt
Filed under: Arabidopsis thaliana (thale cress)
Lineage: Eukaryota; Viridiplantae; Streptophyta; Magnoliopsida; Brassicales; Brassicaceae
Source: RNAcentral